AAACUAAAGAACAGUACUCUGCAAAUGAUCUAGUGUGAUGAUAAGAGAAAAUGAAGAACUUUUCAAAACUCUAUGGGAAGCAGCAGAGUCGAGUUGAAGGAGCUGGAAGACGGCCAUUAGAAUGGUCUUUAUUCUUCCACCAGUUGAAGGAGGUUGGAAGAUGAAUCUUGCUGAACUUCAGCAUAUGGGAAACGACUUCGGGGCUACCUGAGUAUUCCAUCUUGUAAUGUUGAUAAAAGAACCAAAUGAAACAGCAUGCAGUGAAGAAUUUUGUAAGUCCUAAGUAAGUACACAAAUGUGAUGUGGAA
This 308-nucleotide long non-coding RNA is filed under the name Homo sapiens (human). RNAcentral describes it as "non-protein coding lnc-MCTP2-3:1". The record is from RNAcentral. Lineage: Eukaryota; Metazoa; Chordata; Mammalia; Primates; Hominidae.